Molecule: ribosomal RNA, 460 nt
Filed under: uncultured bacterium
Lineage: Bacteria
Description: partial 16S ribosomal RNA
Rfam family: Bacterial small subunit ribosomal RNA
Source: RNAcentral
CCUACGGGAGGCAGCAGUGAGGAAUAUUGGUCAAUGGGCGCUAGCCUGAACCAGCCAAGUAGCGUGAAGGAUGACUGCCCUAUGGGUUGUAAACUUCUUUUAUAUGGGAAUAAAGUGCAGUAUGUAUACUGCUUUGCAUGUACCUUAUGAAUAAGGAUCGGCUAACUCCGUGCCAGCAGCCGCGGUAAUACGGAGGAUCCGAGCGUUAUCCGGAUUUAUUGGGUUUAAAGGGAGCGUAGGCGGGUGGUUAAGUCAGUUGUGAAAGUUUGCGGCUCAACCGUAAAAUUGCAGUUGAUACUGGCAGCCUUGAGUACAGUAGAGGUAGGCGGAAUUCGUGGUGUAGCGGUGAAAUGCUUAGAUAUCACGAAGAACACCGAUUGCGAAGGCAGCCUGCUGGACUGUAACUGACGCUGAUGCUCGAAAGUGUGGGUAUCAAACAGGAUUAGAUACCCCUGUAGUC